Oncorhynchus keta (chum salmon) is the source of this 4872-nucleotide long non-coding RNA. RefSeq lists it as uncharacterized. The record is from RefSeq and is a predicted model, not a curated record. Lineage: Eukaryota; Metazoa; Chordata; Actinopteri; Salmoniformes; Salmonidae. The transcript is spliced from 3 exons.
UAGGGCUCUGGUAAAAAGUAGUGCACUACCCCAUAGGGCUCUGGUAAAAAGUAGUGCACUACCCCAUAGGGCUCUGGUAAAAAGUAGUGCACUACCCCAUAGGGCUCUGGUAAAAAGUAGUGCACUACCCCAUAGGGCUCUGGUAAAAAGUAGUGCACUACCCCAUAGGGCUCUGGUAAAAAGUAGUGCACUACCCCAUAGGGCCCUGGUAAAAAGUAGUGCACUACCCCAUAGGGCUCUGGUAAAAAGUAGUGCACUACCCCAUAGGGCUCUGGUAAAAAGUAGUGCACUACCCCAUAGGGCUCUGGUAAAAAGUAGUGCACUACCCCAUAGGGCUCUGGUAAAAAGUAGUGCACUACCCCAUAGGGCUCUGGUAAAAAGUAGUGCACUACCCCAUAGGGCUCUGGUAAAAAGUAGUGCACUACCCCAUUAGGGCUCUGGUAAAAAGUAGUGCACUACCCCAUAGGGCCCUGGUAAAAAGUAGUGCACUACCCCAUAGGGCUCUGGUAAAAAGUAGUGCACUACCCCAUAGGGCUCUGGUAAAAAGUAGUGCACUACCCCAUAGGGCUCUGGUAAAAAGUAGUGCACUACCCCAUUAGGAAAAGAACAAACAAAGCAAGAAAAACCCCAUUAUUCAGCAGUCCAUCAAUCAGUUGGUGUGUGGAAGUGUGUGCUACGAUGUUGAAGCUAGGCUUGGCUCUCUCAUCCCUCCAGGGUUUUGGGAGGGAGGGUGGACAAUGAGCCUGUCAUAGCGGAUGUAAUCAAUGUCCCCACACUCUCUGGCAGCUUUCAUGGCUGGGAUCAGUUAUUUCCUCUUCUGGUGCACAGCUUCAGGAUAGUCCUCUUUGACUAAUUCUAAAAUUCUUGGGUCUUUCCAGAACAGUUACCUUGUACUUGAACCUCGGGAACUUGUCCACGAUCGAUCUGGGGCCUGUCACCUUGGUGGGAUUCCAGUCCCAUCUUCAGUUUUUCCCGAGAUAAUUUCCCUCACUUUGUCCUCAGACUCAAUCCAGGUCUCAAGUGAUUACCGUCCACAACAAUGUUGUGUUCCGCCUUGAUUGUCCCUUGAGAUAAUCGGAUUUCUCCGUCAUGGUUAUCAUGGAUUCACAUACAGAAAUGAUGUCCUCUCUCAAGUAGUUUGCUGUCAUCUUGCUGUUCUCCUGAUUGAAGUCUUUUGACCCUAGGAAACUGUAAAUCCACCAGUAUUUGGACAAAACACUUGAAGCUAUAUUCUUGAUGUUGUAACAACUGCUUGUAGAACUUGUUUGUUUGAUUUAAAGAUCCUUCACCUGUGAUAGAGAGACACGACUGUCCUCAACAGUACUCCCACCAGCUUUGGUCUUUGUUAUGGUAGCAAUGUAGGCAAUGCUGUCACCUCCGCAUUUCCAGACACAGCAAGUCGCAGGGCAGAUGGAAACAGCAACAAACAGCAGGGAUUCAAACAGUCAUACUCCUGGGACAAUCGGUGGUACUAGCCUCAAGGGCUGUGGGUUGAGUACAACCUGUUAAGGAAACCUGGCUAGCUUGAUAGCUAGCUAACGAGAGUUAGAAGCUAAGCUAGAAUUUGCACCAAUGAGGGAAAAAUUAGCUACUUCUCUGGAGCAAAAUUGACCUGAUAAUGUUGGGUUGGAGAUGGCGAUAAUGUCGGGUUGGAAUGGCUGAGAUGGCAAUAAUGUCAGGUUGGAAUGGCUGAGAUGGUAAUAAUGUCAGGUUGGAAUGGCUGAGAUGGUAAUAAUGUCAGGUUGGAAUGGCUGAGAUGGUAAUAAUGUCAGGUUGGAAUGGCUGAGAUGGUAAUAAUGUCAGGUUGGAAUGGCUGAGAUGGUAAUAAUGUCAGGUUGGAAUGGCUGAGAUGGUAAUAAUGUCAGGUUGGAAUGGCUGAGAUGGUAAUAAUGUCAGGUUGGAAUGGCUGAGAUGGCAAUAAUGUCAGGUUGGAAUGGCUGAGAUGGUAAUAAUGUCAGGUUGGAAUGGCUGAGAUGGUAAUAAUGUCAGGUUGGAAUGGCUGAGAUGGCAAUAAUGUCAGGUUGGAAUGGCUGAGAUGGUAAUAAUGUCAGGUUGGAAUGGCUGAGAUGGCGAUAAUGUCGGGUUGGAAUGGCUGAGAUGGUAAUAAUGUCAGGUUGGAAUGGCUGAGAUGGCGAUAAUGUCAGGUUGGAAUGGCUGAGAUGGUAAUAAUGUCAGGUUGGAAUGGCUGAGAUGGUAAUAAUGUCAGGUUGGAAUGGCUGAGAUGGUAAUAAUGUCAGGUUGGAAUGGCUGAGAUGGUAAUAAUGUCAGGUUGGAAUGGCUGAGAUGGUAAUAAUGUCAGGUUGGAACGGAACCCCUAUUAUUUCCAGUUUAAACUAAUGAUCUGCCAAAACUACAUUGAUUAAGGAGCAAUCCAAUUAUUAUGGGUGUUUUGGCAGGCGGCCUGCAGCACAAGAUUUCGCUUUACGCGGAUGAUGUCUUGCUCUACAUAUCCAACCCUGAGAAAUCCCUCCCAUUUUAGACACAAUUGCUCAGUAUGGCAAGUUUUCAGGUUAUAAGAUCAAUUUUAACAAAUCCACUGUCUGCCCUCUCAAUAUUACACUCACCAGCUCUAUGAAGACACUUUGUCCUUUCCAAUGGAAAACACAGGGGUUUCAAUACCUCGGGAUCUUCGUAUCACCAGAUCUGAAUAAUCUUUUCAAGGAAAAUGAUCUUCCACUCAUGGAUCGAAUCAAAAACGAUCUCCAAACCUGGAUCUCCCUCCCAAUUAGCUUAUUAGGAAGAAUUAAUGUCAUCCUUAUGAACGUCCUCCCUAGACUGAACUAUUUAUUUCAGAUACUCCCAUGCUAUUUCUUAGUUUCCUUUAUCAAAACAACUAACGAAAGAAUCACCAAAUUUACAUGGGGCAAUAAAACACCUAGGAUCAAGUUCUCCACUCUAUCGAAACCUGAAUCUAAGGGUGGUCUUGCCCUUCCCUCCCUUCAAUUGUACUACUGGUCUACCCAAAUCCGCAACAUGCUAAUAUGGAUCACAAACAGACAAGAGUCAACGUGGAUUCAGAUAGAAGCCCAAUCCUGUGGUUCAUUGCCCUUAAGCUCAAUUAUAUUCAUUAAUAACUUUAGUGAAGUGGGCAACAUAGCCGAAACCUUUGUGAUUUACAGCACCCUACUAGCGUGGAGGGACUGUAAGAAAUACCUGGGCAUUUCCUCCCAAAUAUGUUCUCACUCGCCUAUAGUAGGCAACCCAGACCUGCCAAAAGCUCUGAGGGAUGCCAACUUUAAUCUUUGGCAUACUCUAGGAAUCAGGACCUUUUCAGACCUAUUUCAUCAGAAAACCACUAUACUGAAAUCCUUUCAAGAGCUCUGCAGUGAAUUCAAUAUACCAAGAUCCCAUUUCUUUUAUAUCUUCACAUGUCUUCAUUUACUUCCAAGAGGAGGUUUACAACUCAGUUGAAUGAAGUUGAAACCCUUCUUGUCACAGCACAAUCCAUUAAAAGCUAAAUAUCUUAUAUCUAUAGAUUCCUUUCUGAGAAAGGAGGCUCCUCCUUUACUCCGUUGAAAAUAAUCUGGGAAAAGGACCUUGGUCUGACUUUAUUUAUUCAAAUUCUAUUUUACCUUUAUUUAACUAGGCAAGUCAGUUAAGAACAAAUUCUUAUUUUCAAUGAUGGCCUAGGAACAGUGGGUUAACUGCAUGUUCAGGAGCAGAACGACAGAGUUGUACCUUGUCAGCUCGGGGAUUUGAACUUGCAACCUUCCUCUUACUAGUCCAACGCUCUAACCAGUGAUGAGCUAUUGGUGGAGGUUUGCAACAGGGUAUACUGCACCUCUACUCAUGUAAAAAUGAAAGAAUCUAAUUACAAUUUUUGUACACAUUUUAUUACACUCCUUUGAGACUCCAUAGAAUGAAAACAGACAUGUCUCCUAACUGUAAAAGAUGUACCUCUGAAAGUGGAACCUAUAUGCAUGUAAUUUGGAGCUGUAGAGAGAUUGCCAGAUUCUAUACUGCUGCACAGAAAAUACUAGCUAUACAGUUUGAUAUGACCCUGUGUAUCUAUCUUCUUAAUGCCCAGCAGGACUUUGUUCUUGAUCCUGACAGAGAAAAUUUGCUCAUGACUAUUACAUACUUUGCUAAGAAAUGUAUUAUUCUAUUGUGGGACUCUAAUACCUCUCCUACAUUUAAAAUGUGGAUUGACCAGAUUGUUGACUUUCUCCCUCUUGAAAAGCUCACUUAUGACCUCCACAAGAGACAGCCCAAGUUUGAUAGACUCUGGUCUCCACUAUUCAACUGGUCCUUCUGUGGCUCAGUUGGUAGAGCAUGGCGCUUGUAACGCCAGGGUAGUGGGUUCAAUUCCCGGGACCACCCAUACGUAGAAUGUAUGCACACCUGACUGUAAGUCGCUUUGGAUAAAAGCGUCAGCUAAAUGGCAUAUAUUAUUAUUAUUAUUAUAACUGUAUUUCAUACUGGACAGAGGGAAUAGGGUGAUUAGGGAAAUGAGCAGAUACAGUAUAUGUGUACGUAUGUGUAUAUAUAUAUAUAUAUAUAUAUAUAUACAAAAAAAACAUGAUUUAUUUUUUUAAUUGUAUUUUUAUUAUUAGAAUUAUCAUUAUAUAUGUUUAUUUUUAAUUUUUUAAACCUGUCACAUCUGUGAAUGUGGAAUGUGUUUUGUUGGUUCAUUGAAAAACAAUAAAACGUUAAAUUGAAGAAGAAAACAACAACAUUGAUGUGUUGUGUUCUAGUCCACUGUCUCUACUUCAGACUGGUGGGGACUCUGAGGAAUAAACGUUUACGAACAGUGAGCACUGUUAUAUUAUCUGCAGACGAUGAUGGAUAGUUGUACCAGCCUGUAUAUGAACAGUGUUCUAUUAUCUUCUACAGCUGAUAGGUGGAGAGUUGUACCAGCCUGUAUAUGAACAG